GCUCAGGACGAACGCUGGCGGCGUGCCUAAUACAUGCAAGUCGAGCGGACCGACGGGAGCUUGCUCCCUUAGGUCAGCGGCGGACGGGUGAGUAACACGUGGGUAACCUGCCUGUAAGACUGGGAUAACUCCGGGAAACCGGGGCUAAUACCGGAUGCUUGAUUGAACCGCAUGGUUCAAUCAUAAAAGGUGGCUUUUAGCUACCACUUGCAGAUGGACCCGCGGCGCAUUAGCUAGUUGGUGAGGUAACGGCUCACCAAGGCGACGAUGCGUAGCCGACCUGAGAGGGUGAUCGGCCACACUGGGACUGAGACACGGCCCAGACUCCUACGGGAGGCAGCAGUAGGGAAUCUUCCGCAAUGGACGAAAGUCUGACGGAGCAACGCCGCGUGAGUGAUGAAGGUUUUCGGAUCGUAAAACUCUGUUGUUAGGGAAGAACAAGUACCGUUCGAAUAGGGCGGUACCUUGACGGUACCUAACCAGAAAGCCACGGCUAACUACGUGCCAGCAGCCGCGGUAAUACGUAGGUGGCAAGCGUUGUCCGGAAUUAUUGGGCGUAAAGCGCGCGCAGGCGGUUUCUUAAGUCUGAUGUGAAAGCCCCCGGCUCAACCGGGGAGGGUCAUUGGAAACUGGGGAACUUGAGUGCAGAAGAGGAGAGUGGAAUUCCACGUGUAGCGGUGAAAUGCGUAGAGAUGUGGAGGAACACCAGUGGCGAAGGCGACUCUCUGGUCUGUAACUGACGCUGAGGCGCGAAAGCGUGGGGAGCGAACAGGAUUAGAUACCCUGGUAGUCCACGCCGUAAACGAUGAGUGCUAAGUGUUAGAGGGUUUCCGCCCUUUAGUGCUGCAGCAAACGCAUUAAGCACUCCGCCUGGGGAGUACGGUCGCAAGACUGAAACUCAAAGGAAUUGACGGGGGCCCGCACAAGCGGUGGAGCAUGUGGUUUAAUUCGAAGCAACGCGAAGAACCUUACCAGGUCUUGACAUCCUCUGACAACCCUAGAGAUAGGGCUUCCCCUUCGGGGGCAGAGUGACAGGUGGUGCAUGGUUGUCGUCAGCUCGUGUCGUGAGAUGUUGGGUUAAGUCCCGCAACGAGCGCAACCCUUGAUCUUAGUUGCCAGCAUUCAGUUGGGCACUCUAAGGUGACUGCCGGUGACAAACCGGAGGAAGGUGGGGAUGACGUCAAAUCAUCAUGCCCCUUAUGACCUGGGCUACACACGUGCUACAAUGGGCAGAACAAAGGGCAGCGAAGCCGCGAGGCUAAGCCAAUCCCACAAAUCUGUUCUCAGUUCGGAUCGCAGUCUGCAACUCGACUGCGUGAAGCUGGAAUCGCUAGUAAUCGCGGAUCAGCAUGCCGCGGGUGAAUACGUUCCCGGGCCUUGUACACACCGCCCGUCACACCACGAGAGUUUGUAACACCCGAAGUCGGUGAGGUAACCUUUUGGAGCCAGCCGC
Molecule: ribosomal RNA, 1453 nt
Filed under: Bacillus licheniformis
Lineage: Bacteria; Bacillati; Bacillota; Bacilli; Caryophanales; Bacillaceae
Description: bacterial SSU rRNA
Rfam family: Bacterial small subunit ribosomal RNA
Source: RNAcentral